Molecule: long non-coding RNA, 134 nt
Organism: Xiphophorus hellerii (green swordtail)
Lineage: Eukaryota; Metazoa; Chordata; Actinopteri; Cyprinodontiformes; Poeciliidae
Exons: 2
Source: RefSeq, a predicted model, not a curated record
CCUACCCCGGCGGACGAACCUCACCUCACCCACACUUAGACGAUCCCGAUCCAGCCCUUUCCAGAAGACGUUUCCCCACCCAAAUUUUCAUCUGUUUUCUUUGAAAAGAAAAACAAUAAACUUGAUUUAUCUGA